GUAAGGAAUAUUGGUCAAUGGACGGAAGUCUGAACCAGCCAUGCCGCGUGAAGGAUGACUGCCCUCUGGGUUGUAAACUUCUUUUAUCUGGGACGAAAAAAGGGCUUUUUAGCUCACUUGACGGUACCAGAGGAAUAAGCACCGGCUAACUCCGUGCCAGCAGCCGCGGUAAUACGGAGGGUGCAAGCGUUAUCCGGAUUUACUGGGUUUAAAGGGUGCGUAGGUGGGCAGGAAAGUCAGUGGUGAAAUCUCCGGGCUUAACCCGGAAACUGCCAUUGAUACUAUUUGUCUUGAAUACUUUGGAGGUAAGCGGAAUAUGUCAUGUAGCGGUGAAAUGCUUAGAUAUGACAUAGAACACCAAUUGCGCAGGCAGCUUACUACACAGUAAUUGACACUGAGGCACGAAAGCGUGGGGAUCAAACAGGAUUAGAUACCCUUGUAGUCC
RNAcentral lists this ribosomal RNA (445 nucleotides) under uncultured bacterium. Its description in RNAcentral is "bacterial SSU rRNA". It matches the Rfam family "Bacterial small subunit ribosomal RNA", at positions 354 to 796 of the family's 1533-position model. The record is from RNAcentral.